Molecule: long non-coding RNA, 1421 nt
Filed under: Gopherus agassizii (Agassiz's desert tortoise)
Lineage: Eukaryota; Metazoa; Chordata; Testudines; Testudinidae
Description: lncRNA (ENSGAGG00000011470.1)
Source: RNAcentral
AGGGAUCGUCCAGGAGCCACAGCUAGAGGAGAAACUGGAAGAAAUGAACCUGAACUGCCUGGACAUCCUUGUAAGCAGAGAUGAACAGUCCUCAGUUUUCUGCCUUCCACAUAACUGGCUGUGAGUAAGUGGUCAGUGCUUGGAAUUCCUCAUUUGUUCUCGCUCCAGUUUUGUGCAGAGGCUCUGAACAUCCUCGUUGAAAUUGGUGCUUUGUGGGAUUAAAGCUGGGGAAUGGAUCAGAGUCUCAGUUGCCAACUUUCACUAGGUAAAUAAGCAUCCCGACUUUCAUAAUAAGCCAAAAAUCAAGCUAAUCCCAUUUCAAAACAAUUCCAAAGCAAGCCAAUCCCUUGGAAUCCCAACACUCUGUGCGACUAAAUCUCCCAUUGCAAGUCGUCAGAGACUGUGGUGGGCCCCCUGUACACCCCUCACUCUCUCCCCUCUUUCCCCUGCGUGCCCCCAAUUGCUGGGAGCCGACCAAAAAAAAAAAAAGCAGUCAGAAACUACAGCGAACAACCUACAAGCCAAAAACUAGCCAACAAGCAACUUGCAAGCCAAUUAGGCCAAAAACCUGACCAAUUUCUGCAUAUUUUUCUGCAGGUUUGGCAUUGCUGACCAGAGCCUACUAUGCAGAGUGAGUAUUUCAGGUGUCAUUGCCAGGGGCAUUUUCUACUUUUAGUCCUAAAGAUGUAAUGGAAAUAUGGUUGAGGGCGGAGGCCUACCGUGUCGGGGAGGUGAAAAGAAGAGCAUACAAGACAUUGCCUCCUGAGAGGGUAGGGUAUUUUUUUCCCCUUGUGGUGGGUUUAGUUGCAAAGGAAAAGAAGUCACGCAUCAGUCCACCGUCCUCAUGUGAUGGAAGGGGAGCAAGAGCGCUGAGACCGCGAGGAUUGUUGAUGCCGCGCAAAAGACGUCCAUCUGGGAGUGGAACAGCCGUCACUCGGAAUCGUCCAGGAGCAGCAGCUGGGGGAGAAAUUGGCAGAUGUGGACAUGAGCAGCCUGAACAUCCUUCUAAGCAGACAUGAACUGUCCUCAGCUUUCUGCCUCCUGCUUAACUGGCUGUGAGUAAGCCGUCAGUGCUUGGAAUUCCUCAUCUGUACUUGCCGUAGUUCUCUUGACAGGCUGUGUGCUUCCUCACUGGGUACGGGACUCUGUGAGAUUAGGGCUGAAACUCCUCACCAGAGAAUGUUGCGAAGGCCAAGUCUAAAAUCGGGUUCAGAAAAGAACUAGGCAAAUCCAUGGAAGGUCAGUCCAUCAAUGGCUGUUAGUCAGGACGAGCAGGGAUAGUGUCUCUAGCCCCUUCAGCUUUUCAGGCUGCUUAGUGUCACGGAGUGUGGGGGAGUCCAGCCCUGCACCCCUCUUCCUGGGACCCACAGUGACUCUCGGCCAGCCAGUAAAACAGAAGGUUUAUUGGACAACAGGAACAC